This 253-nucleotide ribosomal RNA is filed under the name uncultured bacterium. Its description in RNAcentral is "partial 16S ribosomal RNA". It matches the Rfam family "Bacterial small subunit ribosomal RNA", at positions 524 to 776 of the family's 1533-position model. The record is from RNAcentral.
UACGUAGGGUGCAAGCGUUAAUCGGAAUUACUGGGCGUAAAGCGUGCGCAGGCGGCUUUGCAAGACAGAUGUGAAAUCCCCGGGCUUAACCUGGGAACUGCAUUUGUGACUGCAUGGCUAGAGUGCGGCAGAGGGGGAUGGAAUUCCGCGUGUAGCAGUGAAAUGCGUAGAUAUGCGGAGGAACACCGAUGGCGAAGGCAGCUUACUACACAGUUAUUGACGCUGAGGCACGAAAGCGUGGGGAUCAAACAGG